UACGAGGGGUCCAAGCGUUGUUCGGAAUCAUUGGGCGUAAAGCGGGUGUAGGUGGCUCUGCAAGUCAGGAGUGAAAGCCCUGGGCUUAACCCAGGAAGUGCUUUUGAUACUGCAGAGCUUGAAUGUGGGAGAGGAUGGUGGAAUUCCAGGUGUAGUGGUGCAAUACGUAGAUAUCUGGAGGAACUCCGGUGGCGAAGGCGGCCAUCUGGCCCAACAUUGACACUGAGACCCGAAAGCGUGGGGAUCAAACAGG
This 253-nucleotide ribosomal RNA is filed under the name uncultured bacterium. Its description in RNAcentral is "partial 16S ribosomal RNA". It matches the Rfam family "Bacterial small subunit ribosomal RNA", at positions 524 to 776 of the family's 1533-position model. The record is from RNAcentral.